AACGAACGCUGGCGGCAUGCCUAACACAUGCAAGUCGAACGAGACCUUCGGGUCUAGUGGCGCACGGGUGCGUAACGCGUGGGAACCUGCCCUUAGGUUCGGAAUAACUCCCCGACAGGGGUGCUAAUACCGGAUAAUGUCUUCGGACCAAAGAUUUAUCGCCUUUGGAUGGGCCCGCGUUGGAUUAGCUAGUUGGUAGGGUAAAAGCCUACCAAGGCGACGAUCCAUAGCUGGUCUGAGAGGAUGAUCAGCCACACUGGGACUGAGACACGGCCCAGACUCCUACGGGAGGCAGCAGUGGGGAAUAUUGGACAAUGGGCGAAAGCCUGAUCCAGCAAUGCCGCGUGAGUGAUGAAGGCCUUAGGGUUGUACAGCUCGUUUACCCGGGAUGAUAAUGACAGUACCGGGAGAAUAAGCUCCGGCUAACUCCGUG
Molecule: ribosomal RNA, 433 nt
Filed under: uncultured bacterium
Lineage: Bacteria
Description: partial 16S ribosomal RNA
Rfam family: Bacterial small subunit ribosomal RNA
Source: RNAcentral